This 697-nucleotide ribosomal RNA is filed under the name Rhodococcus sp. (in: high G+C Gram-positive bacteria). RNAcentral's name for it is "bacterial SSU rRNA". It matches the Rfam family "Bacterial small subunit ribosomal RNA", at positions 195 to 908 of the family's 1533-position model. Lineage: Bacteria; Bacillati; Actinomycetota; Actinomycetes; Mycobacteriales; Nocardiaceae. The record is from RNAcentral.
UGUGGUGGAAAGAUUUAUCGGUGCAGGAUGGGCCCGGCCUAUCAGCUUGUUGGUGGGGUAAUGGCCUACCAAGGCGACGACGGGUAGCCGACCUGAGAGGGUGACCGGCCACACUGGGACUGAGACACGGCCCAGACUCCUACGGGAGGCAGCAGUGGGGAAUAUUGCACAAUGGGCGGAAGCCUGAUGCAGCGACGCCGCGUGAGGGAUGAAGGCCUUCGGGUUGUAAACCUCUUUCAGCAGGGACGAAGCGUGAGUGACGGUACCUGCAGAAGAAGCACCGGCUAACUACGUGCCAGCAGCCGCGGUAAUACGUAGGGUGCGAGCGUUGUCCGGAAUUACUGGGCGUAAAGAGUUCGUAGGCGGUUUGUCGCGUCGUUUGUGAAAACCCGGGGCUCAACUUCGGGCUUGCAGGCGAUACGGGCAGACUUGAGUGUUUCAGGGGAGACUGGAAUUCCUGGUGUAGCGGUGAAAUGCGCAGAUAUCAGGAGGAACACCGGUGGCGAAGGCGGGUCUCUGGGAAACAACUGACGCUGAGGAACGAAAGCGUGGGUAGCAAACAGGAUUAGAUACCCUGGUAGUCCACGCCGUAAACGGUGGGCGCUAGGUGUGGGUUCCUUCCACGGGAUCUGUGCCGUAGCUAACGCAUUAAGCGCCCCGCCUGGGGAGUACGGCCGCAAGGCUAAAACUCAAANAA